AUGGUUUAAUUAUUUAUGGCAAGGAUUAAUUAAUAUGUUAAUUAAUCAAACGAAUAAGUUUGUUAAAGACCUCGGGAUAGUUUUGGACCUUAAGGCCCAAUGGGCUUCGAACGUCAAGCCCAUUGACUUAAGUUGUAUGACAAUUUAAUGAAUAAAGAUUCACAAAGGCGCAAAAGCCCAAAUCCCUUAUGUGGCCGGCCAUGUGUGUUGAAUUAGGGUUUUUUGGUUCUUUAGGUCAUUUAAAGAAGUGACUAUAUAAAGAACUUUAUAGCCUAAAAUUCAUUAAGGGGUUUCUUUUAGGAAAUUGGAGAGAACACAAAGCUCUCCUUUCUCUCUAAAGAGGCCGGCCCCCUUGGAGGGAUUAGCUAGCAAUCCCACUCCUCCAAGGUCACUCAUUUCUUCUCCAAUCUAACCUUGGUGUAGACACUUAGAGGUUCUCAAUUUUGGGAACUUGGAUAACCAUAUUCUUCCAUCCAAAUCCAUGGAUCUAAGAAGCAAUAAAUGAAGGCCUUCUCUUUGGGUGAUUAG
This 528-nucleotide long non-coding RNA is filed under the name Malus domestica (apple). RNAcentral describes it as "long non-coding RNA (MDOM_LNC019488)". Lineage: Eukaryota; Viridiplantae; Streptophyta; Magnoliopsida; Rosales; Rosaceae. The record is from RNAcentral.